Molecule: RNA transcript, 4676 nt
Organism: Dalotia coriaria
Lineage: Eukaryota; Metazoa; Arthropoda; Insecta; Coleoptera; Staphylinidae
Gene: Lpin
Gene name: phosphatidate phosphatase LPIN
Exons: 13
Source: RefSeq, a predicted model, not a curated record
AUCCACACGUCUCACUUCAUUUCAGUCAGAUUUUCAGUCAGUAACAAUGUGUGGUUGAGUGUGGUCGUGAGCAACGUUAUUUGGUGAACAGUUUUUUUUUGGAAAAUUCCUACUGCUUUAUUUGCCCCAUCACGUAUGUUCUCAAAAUCUGAAGAAAUUGACGAUUAGAAUGUGUCUGGGUGCAAAAUAAUCAAAAUCAAUUACAUAAUCCCAACGUGCACCAAUCCCACCGACCAAGAUGUCUAUGAACUACAUCGGCCGGGUGUUAAAUAACUUUAAGGAAUUUUACAAUGAAAUCAAUGGCGCUACACUCACCGGCGCAAUCGAUGUCGUCGUCGUUGAGCUGCCGGAUGGCACGUUCAACUGCUCGCCGUUUCACGUACGCUUUGGCAAGAUUGGCGUGCUUCGAAGCCGAGAAAAAGUGGUCGAUAUCGAGAUCAACGGAGAACCUCAAGAUAUACAUAUGAAACUAGGUGAAAGUGGCGAAGCGUUUUUCGUCGAGGAGGUGCUCGACUCUGACAAUGAGGACAUCCCCGAACAUUUGGCAACUUCGCCAAUUCCGGUUUCGCAUUUUGAAGAACUCUAUAAUUCGCAGGGACGCCGUCGCAAUAGUUUUGAUCUUGGUGAUAAAAAACCUGUGCAGAGCAUCAUUGAUAUUGAAAACUUGGAGAAUCAAGCCAACGAUUACAGCAAACGUCGCUAUACUGCCGACAAUGAUAAUGAGAAGAAGCGCGGUCGGGACUUUAUCAAGCGCCAAAUUGGUUUGGGAAAUUUAGAUUGGGCAGAAGCUUCCAUGGAAGACUUGACUUUGUCUCUACAAUCUAAUACCAAAGGGAGUGCGGAUGAUCUCACGCAGAAGGAUGAAGUUUCCGAUACUAUUUUUAAGAUGGACAGUCUUGAUGGCGAGAAAACUCAACCGUCAACACCGAAAGAAGAAGGAAUAACUGGUACUCCUGUAGUACCAACUGUUCUCACUACACCUGCACCUGUAGUGACACCCAAGAAUGAAGAUACUUCUAACGAAUCAAAGAGUAGCAAGAAGAAGCGCAGAAAGAAAAGUGUUAUGAAGAAGAAGAAUUCUCAGCGUAAAGUUUCAUCUGUCGAACAGCCUACUAUGGACGCACCGGAAUUGCAGCUUGAACCUAAAGGUAACGACUCAAACACAGAUCGCAGUUCGAUGGAAAGCAGCCCGUCUGAGACGGAUCUAAAAGAAGGCAGCAAGGCGGAGGAAAAUACUGUUUCGACCAGCUCCAACACCAGCCGCAAAGUUCCUAUGGAUCCAGAUUUUCACUUUUUCAGUGACACCGAGCUCACUACCAAUCCGGCUGAUUCAAGGCCUAAUACUCCGAUUCACGUCGAAUCUGUACAGUCUGAUACUGAAUUUGAAGUACAGAAAAGUAAAGAAGAUGGCAAGGCGCCGACAUCAAAUCCAAGCCAAAGCUGGGCCUGGGGUGAAUUCCCUAAGAAUAUGACUCAACAAAUGUCGCCGACAACGGAAAAUGCCGGCGAUGUCGACCCCAAUCAGGAUCAACAGUCGAUGUUGAGUCACGUGUUUUCAUUUAUGAAACAAAACAAGCAUCGACAUCGCAACAGCAAAACCGACGGUGUUUACCUUGCUGAUAUCAGCUCGGGCGCGAUUGAGCCGGAAGUCGCUUCGCUGUACUUUACUACAAAUAACUACAAGCGUAACACAGAUGCAGACAUGGAUUGUGAAUCAGGGAAUGGACCAUCAUUAACGCAGAGUCCUAACAGCGCCGAGGGUUCCAAAUCGAUUGACUCUGAUUUUGACGAACAAAACAAACUUGCUCAAUCGUAUAUGCAUGAUAUUUCCAUUUCGAUGUGUGGAUGGGAUCCUGAACCGACCGAUGACAACUUUAUUCGUCAUGUAGUGGCCUUCAGCGAUCUUUGCAACAAUCCGUCAUUGUUCGAGUCGGAGAGUCUUGUGGUGCGGAUCAAGAAGAAGUACUACACAUGGAAAGUUGCAGCGCCGAUCAUUUCUAGUCUCAUUAUUUAUCAACGACCCCUGCCUCAAUCCACCGUUGAGCAAUUGGUGAAUAUUCAUAUGCCAGUUAACAAUAACAACAAUCCUACGCCUGAAAAAGAGCCGAAAACAGAACAGCGGUCGUAUUGGUGGAGUUGGCGACGUGGUCGUAAUUCUAGGGAAACCACUCCAGUUACUGAGACAGCGGAUAAGCUGCCUGAACUGGAAUCAAUCAAAGUGGAGGAGGCGCCUGCAACGAAAACCGAAGCUAUCGCAACUACUAUGACUCCUAUCGAUAGUAGUAAAGAUUCUGGUUGUGAAGAAAAAGGAUUGUCUGAUUCACCUGAGUCAAACAUGUGUGGUCUUGGCGAGAAGUGCCGCAAGACUUUGAGAUUAAGUUCCAACCAAAUUGCAAAGUUAAAUCUGAGAGCCGGUAUGAACGAAGUGGAAUUUUCGGUUACCACUGCAUACCAAGGAACGACCAGAUGCAAGUGUCACAUUUAUCGCUGGAAGUGGGAUGAUAAAAUUGUCAUUUCCGAUAUUGAUGGCACAAUUACCAAGUCAGACGUCUUGGGACACAUUUUGCCGAUUGUUGGAGCUGAUUGGGCUCAGACUGGAGUUGCGCAACUCUUCAAUAAGAUCAAAGACAACGGUUAUAAAUUGUUGUAUUUGUCAGCCCGUGCAAUUGGCCAAGCACGCACUACGCGUGACUACCUCAAAUCUAUCAAGCAAGGUGAUCUAUAUAUGCCGGACGGUCCUGUGUUACUGAAUCCGACAUCGCUGAUCACCGCCUUUCAUCGCGAAGUAAUUGAAAAGAAACCGGAACGGUUUAAGAUUUCGUGCAUGAGUGAUAUUAAGGCUCUCUUUCCGCCGGACUCUGAUCCGUUUUAUGCUGGAUAUGGAAAUCGAAUUAAUGAUGUUUGGGCUUACACCGCUGUUGGCAUUCCAAUUGUGCGCAUUUUCACGAUAAACUCGAAGGGAGAGCUCAAACAUGAGUUGACUCAGACUUUCCAAUCAAGUUAUUCCGGCCAAUCGUUGGUUGUCAAUGACGUAUUUCCACCAAUCUUUAAUAAAAUUUUCUCAAUUGACAUUGACGAUGACGAGAUUGACGAUACAGACUCGUCGUCUGACUAGUUAAUGAGUUUAAACGAAAUUUUGAACAAAACGUGAUCGCGAAACAUUGAUCAAUUGCAUUUAUAAAUUACAAAAUAUGCAAUUGCAAUGUAUUAAACUUAGCUGUGAUGAUCGAAACUGAUAUAUUGUUAAUGUUAUUACGCGUAGAUAAUUUUACAAGAUGACAUAAAAAGUUUUACUUCUUUUUAACUUGUGCAAACUUGUUUGUAGUCAUCUUUUGUUAUAAGCUAACAAAAAGCACUAGUCAUGUGAACAAAGUAUCAAGCAUAAAAUAAAUUGAUAUUUUUGAUAGUAAUGUUUUAAUAUAAUAUUAGCUGAUAUUUGCCAUGACCACUGUGUUAGCAUGGGAAACAAAUGGAACAUUUGCAAUAAGAUCAUAUCAUUAUAUUAAUUAAGCAUGUUUGACUGAUUUGUUUUAUGUGCAACUUUAAGUUCUUGUUUUAUGUGCAUCUUUAAGUGCUUGUUUUAUGUGCAUCUUUUAGUGCUUGUAUUAUAUUUAAAUAACUAACAUGUGGUGGCGGCUAGCAUUCGUGUAGGCAAAUGUUCCUUUUAUUUCAUGUUCGAUAAUUGUAAUGUAAAACAAAGUAGAUAUUUUGGCAAACUAUAAAAAUAAUCAACGAAACCCACAAUGCUCUGCAAUAUUCUGCACGUCCACACAAGCAACGCAUUUGUUUGAAUCGUUAUGCGAACAUGAGCGUCAUUGUCGAUCAACUCUUUCCACAUGUUCGUGAUCCUGCAAAUGACUACUCUACGUUUAUUUACUGGCGUGCACCAAUGCCAAUUGUCGAUGAUUUGCCGGCGCUCUAAAUAGGGAAAUGUUGUCGUCGGUGAAUUGCGGGGCGCAUUUACUAAAUUAACGUCGCAUUAUUCAAUAUUAAAAAGAAGAAAUUUCAUUCGUAACUUAUUCAAAAUGAAAAGCUAAAGUGUGUAACUUUCAAAUUAAACAUAUUGGUGUCUCUUGCUGACUAAACAAUACUAUUGCAAGUUGCGUAGUUACAUUUAAAAUUUGCAAGUUUUAAUACACGCUAAGUUCACUGCUCUAGAAUGGCUUUUAUGCUACGUACUUUGCAUAAUAAACUUGCAUCCAUUAGACUCAUUCGAUUGAUAAAGCUGAAGUUCUUUGAUUAAUUUCUGUAGUUGUGAUUUGUUAAUUUAACAAUUUUAGAGUGGUUAGUCUAUUUUAGUGCUACGUAUAUUACCAAUUGUUUAAGAUACCAAUUUGUUUGUAGGAAAACGUAAUGUUUAUUGGUAGUUUUUAGAAUGUGUUAGAUGAAUUGUAAAUUCACGAUUAUUGAAUUGAAAAGGCUGUUGGUAUUGUGAUAAUAACUACCAAUGCAUUGGAUUCCAUAAUACUGUUAGUUUUUUUUGUUAGAUAUAUAUUUUUGUAUUUGGAAACAUAAUAAUCAAUUAUUUCUUUGUGAUAUUUAUUUUUAAGUAGAUCAAUUUCAGUCUGUGUGUUUUCCUAAUUUUUACGUGUACGCUAUUGUUUGAUGCGAAAAAUACAUUUAUGUAUGCAAUGAAAUGGUAUGAUAAAAAAUAUAGAAAUAGCAACUGAUAUAAA